RNAcentral lists this ribosomal RNA (253 nucleotides) under uncultured bacterium. RNAcentral describes it as "partial 16S ribosomal RNA". It matches the Rfam family "Bacterial small subunit ribosomal RNA", at positions 524 to 776 of the family's 1533-position model. The record is from RNAcentral.
CACGUAGGGCGCAAGCGUUGUCCGGAAUUAUUGGGCGUAAAGAGCUCGUAGGUGGCUUGUCGCGUCUGCCGUGAAAGCCCGUGGCUUAACUACGGGUCUGCGGUGGAUACGGGCAGGCUAGAGGCUGGUAGGGGCAAGCGGAAUUCCUGGUGUAGCGGUGAAAUGCGCAGAUAUCAGGAGGAACACCAGUGGCGAAGGCGGCGCUCUGGGCCGGAACUGACGCUGAGGAGCGAAAGCGUGGGUAGCAAACAGG